Molecule: long non-coding RNA, 3041 nt
Organism: Neofelis nebulosa (Clouded leopard)
Lineage: Eukaryota; Metazoa; Chordata; Mammalia; Carnivora; Felidae
Exons: 2
Source: RefSeq, a predicted model, not a curated record
UCCUUUCCAAAGCUCAGUGCAGGCUCCCCAAGCUGUGUGGGUCUUAAUAAGUGGCGUAGUUUUGAGGACUCGCUUUGAAUAGUCUAGAUAUUAAGACGGAUGAUUUAAAGAAUCCACAGAACUUAUUUUCAGAGCACAUUUACAUGCCUUUCAAACAGAUUUUUUUAUUAUGACGUGUCCAAGAUGAGCCUGCAGAGGUUUCGCAUUAUUUAAGAAGAGCCGUGCCGAAGUACAGAAUUGAAAUUACUUGAAAACACACAUCUGCAUUUGAAACUUUAAGCUCGCUUUCAAAAUACACUGUACAAUCCGUGUUUACUAUAAAUACAGCGAGUUAACUUCAUUGACAUGACACUUCUCGACUAAGGAAACUUGGCAAAUACGAGCUUCCGGCUUAUCCAAGUAACAGCAGACCGCAGGAUAGCGUAUCUUAUGACCUCCCUGCAUCUCCACUUAAUGAAAGAACAACAAGAAAUGUUUUGCUAGCGCAUUACUCCGCUGAAAAUAUCUGAAUAUGACUUACAUUUAAAUAUUUGCUGUCCUCUCGACUUUAUUUUAUUGGCUCUGAACAAUUGCCUUUCUUAUCGUCAGCUUGGUAAAAAUUAUUUCAAGCUUUAACAGAAAGAUGCUAUGGGACCAUGAAAAUGAGCCCACCAUGACCUUGGUCAGACCCAGCUCUGCGGAAGGUGAAUUGCGGGACCAGAGGCAAAUGGUUUAACGCAGCUCUUCUGCGUGGCCCUUGCUUGUGCAGGGUGCAUAACACUACUGGCUCCUUCCUGAAGACUCUUCUACAAAUACCUGACAGCUACGGUGAUCCUGAGAGGCCUUCAACAUGGGUGCUCGGGAAACACCGAGAAUCACUUACUCAUCUUUAGACAAUGGAUUUGCCAUAGUCUCGGUACCUGGAUGGAAGAGUCCACCAGGCUUCUUAGCCUCUAUCACAUGGAGCCUCACCCCGGUAAGGUCCAGUGCUCCUCGGUGGGCCCCAAUGACGCAGUAGAGGGCCCGAGUUCCAUUGACCACCAGGUAGACUAUCAGUCUGGAACUUGUGCAUUGGUGACAGACUCUAGCGGUCAGGAUCCAAGCAGAGAUAUCGUCUGCCAGUAGGAUGCUCUCUUCUCUAAGGAACUCUGGCUGCCACUCACCCCAGCUUUGCAUUAUGCUUCCCUUGCCAAAAACCUGCCUUCUGGUCCUCCUUUUCUACCUCUAGCCUCACCUUCUGGAUCUCAUUCCACUUUCAUAAUUUCACUCUCUGCCCCGCCAGGCAAAGCACCAAGUGCUUCUGGCUUGUGUGUGACAAGGUAUAAAAAGCACCCCAUCACUUUGCACUUUUCACCUUGUGGGUCCCCGGUAUGUAUCCCCUUGGCUAUGUAGCAGAAGUGAAACUACCAUUGUUAUUCUCAGCAGCCUCUGCAGGAACAAUGCUCAUUUAUCAGGCUCUUAGCCUGCGCACGUCCUAAGCACUAUCUCACUUAAUCUUUAGAGCAAUUCUACGGGGAAGACAAUUCUGGGAGAUUACAAGUAAAUUAUCAGAAGUGAGAGCGAUAGUAGGUCAUUUAGUUGAGCUAUAAUUCUCAGAAAAACCAACUCUGAUCAACUCCGAGUUUCAGUGGGCAUUUUUGUGCUACAGACACUAAGUUCUAAAGAUUCUUAAGCAUUGUUGCCGUUUGUGGGAUUGGAGGAUGAGGGAUCGUGUUCUAACUGAUUUUCUUAUAAAGGUCCCAGAAUCGUCCUCAACUUGACUGCUUAGUGGGACAGAGUGCAGGUCAGUAGACUCCCUCUAAGAUCUAUUGUCUGGACCCCUGGACUUGUAGUCUCAUCCUUUGAUGCUUACUAUAGAGCACUGACAGAGGGUUUUUGACUCUAGUCAGUCCUCUCCUUGUGCCUUUCUCCUGUCCAUGGAAUGCCCAUGAAUAACUUUGUGCAGCGCCCAUGUGCUGUUUUACCUCCAUGGCCUGCCUUCUGCUGGGCGUUCAAAAGUAUAUCCAUUGGAAUUACUGACAAAUUUUAGUGGACCUUUUAGCAAAAGUUAUCUUGCAAGAUGACUUCAACAGAAAAAGAAUGUGGAAGAGAAAGGAUGAAUUUUUCAGUUGCGAUAAGAUGUUAUUUACGUUAUUUACAUGUACCUAUCACCUUUGCUCUCUCCUCAAAGAGCCAUGCAAGAGAAUACAUCGAAACAUCUUUUGAGUUCUUAAGAAAAAAGACUCAAAGGUAAAGAUACACUUGACUUUGCAAAAACAUCCAAUAUGAUUCAAAAACCACCACAGCUUCCUAACUAACAUGAAACUUCCCCAUAACCAUCUAUAGGCUUGCUCUGCCUGCAAAGAGUGGGGACCGCACGAUGGUCCAAACAAACUGGGCAGAAAAUCAGGCAUUUCCUCAGAUCAGGGGAAACUGUCUAGAGAGGAUCGGUGAAAGGAGCGGUUCUGAUUCCAGAAAAGUCUCCUCCAGUUACUCACUGCAUUCUGACUACGGGGGAGAACAAGUCCUAUCACAGAAGACUUGUAGAAAAAAGGGCAGGUCAACAAUAGAAAGCAAUUUUCUAAAGAUAUCAGAUCUCAGACUAUGGGUAACAGGAGAAAUGAAAGCAACAUGUUUCACAUGUGGCACAAUGGCAAUCUAACGCUGGAGAGAUGGAAAAGCAAAAUGACUAAUAGGCAGAAACAGAGGAGAGUCGAAAGUCAGAAAAUCAGUUUAUGGGGAUAAGUCCCAUAACAUUGAAGGAAUGGAGAAAACACACAAACGAUAGGAUCCUGAUCUUUGGGUAAUAAAUAAGGCAAUUUGCAUGCACAAGUGGCUCAAAAUGGAAUUGUAUGGGAAGAAAACCAAGCAAUAAUUCAAAGUGAAAAAUCAUCCCAUCCUCAAAUAAAAACGCAACUCUUCUGAUCAAAUAAUAUAGUCAACCAACCAGUUCUCGUCAAUGUAGAGAAGUACUUUUGGUAGAGGGUUCAGUGUAAGAUUCACAAAGACUCAUGCGGGAAGAGUGACUGUGUUUUUCUGAAGGCCAAGGUCAUGACCUUUAGACAUAAAGCACUUGCUAUGUU